RNAcentral lists this ribosomal RNA (274 nucleotides) under uncultured bacterium. RNAcentral describes it as "partial 16S ribosomal RNA". It matches the Rfam family "Bacterial small subunit ribosomal RNA", at positions 523 to 796 of the family's 1533-position model. The record is from RNAcentral.
CUACGGAGGGUGCAAGCGUUAUCCGGAUUUAUUGGGUUUAAAGGGUGCGCAGGCGGACCUGUCAGUCAGUGGUGAAAUCCCGGGGCUCAACCCCGGAACUGCCAUUGAUACUACAGGUCUUGAAUACGGUUGAAGUAGGCGGAAUGUAGCAUGUAGCGGUGAAAUGCAUAGAUAUGCUACAGAACACCGAUCGCGAAGGCAGCUUACUAAGCCGAUAUUGACGCUCAGGCACGAAAGCGUGGGGAGCGAACAGGAUUAGAAACCCUAGUAGUCC